UUGGUUAAGUUAGAAAGGGCGCACGGUGGAUGCCUUGGCACUAGGAGCCGAAGAAGGACGGGACUAACACCGAUAUGCUUUGGGGAGCUGUACGUAAGCGUUGAUCCAGAGAUUUCCGAAUGGGGGAACCCACUAUCUUUAGUCGGAUAGUAUCCUUACGUGAAUACAUAGCGUGAGGAAGGCAGACCCAGGGAACUGAAACAUCUAAGUACCUGGAGGAAGAGAAAGAAAAAUCGAUUUCCUGAGUAGCGGCGAGCGAAACGGAAAGAGCCCAAACCAAGAAGCUUGCUUCUUGGGGUUGUAGGACACUCUAUACGGAGUUACAAAAGAAAGUUAUAAAUGAAGCGGUCUGGAAAGGCCCGCCAAAGACGGUAACAGCCCGGUAGUUGAAAUAGCUUUCCCUCCAGAGUGGAUCCUGAGUACGGCGGAACACGUGAAAUUCCGUCGGAAUCCGGGAGGACCAUCUCCCAAGGCUAAAUACUCCCUAGUGACCGAUAGUGAACCAGUACCGUGAGGGAAAGGUGAAAAGCACCCCGGAAGGGGAGUGAAACAGUUCCUGAAACCGUGUGCCUACAAGUAGUUAGAGCCCGUUAAUGGGUGAUAGCGUGCCUUUUGUAGAAUGAACCGGCGAGUUACGAUUUGUUGCAAGGUUAAGCGGAAAAAGCGGAGCCGUAGCGAAAGCGAGUCUGAAUAGGGCGAAUAAGUAACAGGUCGUAGACCCGAAACCAGGUGAUCUACCCAUGUCCAGGAUGAAGGUAAGGUAAUACUUACUGGAGGUCCGAACCCACGCACGUUGAAAAGUGCGGGGAUGAGGUGUGGGUAGCGGAGAAAUUCCAAUCGAACUUGGAGAUAGCUGGUUCUCUCCGAAAUAGCUUUAGGGCUAGCCUCGAGGUAAAGAGUCAUGGAGGUAGAGCACUGUUUGGACUAGGGGCCCUUCUCGGGUUACCGAAUUCAGAUAAACUCCGAAUGCCAUGUACUUAUACUCGGGAGUCAGACUGCGAGUGAUAAGAUCCGUAGUCGAAAGGGAAACAGCCCAGACCACCAGUUAAGGUCCCCAAAUAUAUGUUAAGUGGAAAAGGAUGUGGGGUUGCUUAGACAACCAGGAUGUUGGCUUAGAAGCAGCCACCAUUGAAAGAGUGCGUAAUAGCUCACUGGUCGAGUGACCCCGCGCCGAAAAUGUACCGGGGCUAAACAUAUUACCGAAACUGUGGAUGAACCUCUUUAGAGGUUCGUGGUAGGAGAGCGUUCUAAGGGCGGUGAAGUCAGACCGGAAGGACUGGUGGAGCGCUUAGAAGUGAGAAUGCCGGUAUGAGUAGCGAAAGAAGGGUGAGAAUCCCUUCCACCGAAUAUCUAAGGUUUCCUGAGGAAGGCUCGUCCGCUCAGGGUUAG
RNAcentral lists this ribosomal RNA (1389 nucleotides) under Listeria seeligeri. RNAcentral's name for it is "partial 23S ribosomal RNA". It matches the Rfam family "Bacterial large subunit ribosomal RNA", at positions 1 to 1383 of the family's 2925-position model. The record is from RNAcentral. Lineage: Bacteria; Bacillati; Bacillota; Bacilli; Caryophanales; Listeriaceae.